GAAAGGCCCUUCGGGGUACUCGAGCGGCGAACGGGUGAGUAACACGUGAGCAACCUGCCCCUGACUCUGGGAUAAGCCCGGGAAACUGGGUCUAAUACCGGAUACGACCGCCCCCGGCAUCGGGUGGUGGUGGAAAGUCUUUUCGGUUGGGGAUGGGCUCGCGGCCUAUCAGCUUGUUGGUGGGGUAGUGGCCUACCAAGGCGACGACGGGUAGCCGGCCUGAGAGGGCGACCGGCCACACUGGGACUGAGACACGGCCCAGACUCCUACGGGAGGCAGCAGUGGGGAAUAUUGCGCAAUGGGCGGAAGCCUGACGCAGCGACGCCGCGUGGGGGAUGACGGCCUUCGGGUUGUAAACCUCUUUCAGCAGGGACGAAGUUGACGUGUACCUGCAGAAGAAGCGCCGGCUAACUACGUGCCAGCAGCCGCGGUAAUACGUAGGGCGCAAGCGUUGUCCGGAAUUAUUGGGCGUAAAGAGCUCGUAGGUGGCUGGUCGCGUCUGCCGUGAAAGCCCGCAGCUUAACUGCGGGUCUGCGGUGGAUACGGGCCGGCUAGAGGUAGGUAGGGGCAAGUGGAAUUCCUGGUGUAGCGGUGAAAUGCGCAGAUAUCAGGAGGAACACCGGUGGCGAAGGCGGCUUGCUGGGC
Molecule: ribosomal RNA, 645 nt
Filed under: Nonomuraea spiralis
Lineage: Bacteria; Bacillati; Actinomycetota; Actinomycetes; Streptosporangiales; Streptosporangiaceae
Description: bacterial SSU rRNA
Rfam family: Bacterial small subunit ribosomal RNA
Source: RNAcentral